ACCUAGCUGGCUCAGUCUGUGGAGCGUGCGACUCUUGAUCUCAGGGUUGUGAGUUCGAGCCCCACGUUGGGUG
Molecule: transfer RNA, 73 nt
Filed under: Ailuropoda melanoleuca (giant panda)
Lineage: Eukaryota; Metazoa; Chordata; Mammalia; Carnivora; Ursidae
Rfam family: tRNA
About the family: Transfer RNA (tRNA) molecules are approximately 80 nucleotides in length. Their secondary structure includes four short double-helical elements and three loops (D, anti-codon, and T loops).
Source: Rfam by way of RNAcentral